RNAcentral lists this small nuclear RNA (102 nucleotides) under Carlito syrichta (Philippine tarsier). The record is from RNAcentral. Lineage: Eukaryota; Metazoa; Chordata; Mammalia; Primates; Tarsiidae.
GAGCUCAUUUUCCUAGCACAUAUAAUAAAAUUGAAAUGAUACAGAGAAGGUGGACAUGGCCCCUCUGCAUGGAUAACAUGCAAAUUUGUUUUCUAUAUUUUC